RNAcentral lists this ribosomal RNA (995 nucleotides) under Streptococcus salivarius. RNAcentral describes it as "bacterial SSU rRNA". It matches the Rfam family "Bacterial small subunit ribosomal RNA", at positions 61 to 1038 of the family's 1533-position model. The record is from RNAcentral. Lineage: Bacteria; Bacillati; Bacillota; Bacilli; Lactobacillales; Streptococcaceae.
GUAGAACGCUGAAGAGAGGAGCUUGCUCUUCUUGGAUGAGUUGCGAACGGGUGAGUAACGCGUAGGUAACCUGCCUUGUAGCGGGGGAUAACUAUUGGAAACGAUAGCUAAUACCGCAUAACAAUGGAUGACUCAUGUCAUUUAUUUGAAAGGGGCAAAUGCUCCACUACAAGAUGGACCUGCGUUGUAUUAGCUAGUAGGUGAGGUAACGGCUCACCUAGGCGACGAUACAUAGCCGACCUGAGAGGGUGAUCGGCCACACUGGGACUGAGACACGGCCCAGACUCCUACGGGAGGCAGCAGUAGGGAAUCUUCGGCAAUGGGGGCAACCCUGACCGAGCAACGCCGCGUGAGUGAAGAAGGUUUUCGGAUCGUAAAGCUCUGUUGUAAGUCAAGAACGAGUGUGAGAGUGGAAAGUUCACACUGUGACGGUAGCUUACCAGAAAGGGACGGCUAACUACGUGCCAGCAGCCGCGGUAAUACGUAGGUCCCGAGCGUUGUCCGGAUUUAUUGGGCGUAAAGCGAGCGCAGGCGGUUUGAUAAGUCUGAAGUUAAAGGCUGUGGCUCAACCAUAGUUCGCUUUGGAAACUGUCAAACUUGAGUGCAGAAGGGGAGAGUGGAAUUCCAUGUGUAGCGGUGAAAUGCGUAGAUAUAUGGAGGAACACCGGUGGCGAAAGCGGCUCUCUGGUCUGUAACUGACGCUGAGGCUCGAAAGCGUGGGGAGCGAACAGGAUUAGAUACCCUGGUAGUCCACGCCGUAAACGAUGAGUGCUAGGUGUUGGAUCCUUUCCGGGAUUCAGUGCCGCAGCUAACGCAUUAAGCACUCCGCCUGGGGAGUACGACCGCAAGGUUGAAACUCAAAGGAAUUGACGGGGGCCCGCACAAGCGGUGGAGCAUGUGGUUUAAUUCGAAGCAACGCGAAGAACCUUACCAGGUCUUGACAUCCCGAUGCUAUUUCUAGAGAUAGAAAGUUACUUCGGUACAUCGGUGACAGG